Nerophis ophidion (straightnose pipefish) is the source of this 2158-nucleotide long non-coding RNA. RefSeq lists it as uncharacterized. The record is from RefSeq and is a predicted model, not a curated record. NCBI's taxonomy places the organism in Eukaryota, Metazoa, Chordata, Actinopteri, Syngnathiformes, Syngnathidae. The transcript has 6 exons.
ACCCCGUUGUCAAUAAACACACGUGGAGACGGUGCUUCAGACACUGCAUUAAUACCGAAAGCUAAAUUGUGCACUGUCCACUGCAGCAUGUCAAUGCAAUGAAAAUAAUCAAAUUUGAGCCAACCUGCUGUUAAAAUGGUGUCCAGGUUAAUGUUUUAGCCAUUAAAGGCCCUUCAUUUCAAGAUUUCAACUGUGAUCGGGCUUUAAACAGGUGGCUGACCUGUUCAGAUGGGUAUAACUGCUACUGGUCAAAUAAUGUGAAAUAGCAUUUAAUUUUACAUGUAUGCAAUGCCAUUUAAAUGUAAUUAUAGAUGAUGAUGAUAAUAAUAAUAAUAAUAAUAAUAAUAAAUACUGUGUGGUGUAAAUAGUCAACGGGAAGGAUUUUAGUAAGAUAUAAGCCAUAAGCACUACACAGCCAGAAAAAAACCUAGGCAGGACAAGUAAAAAUAUUGAUGAAAGUACAGACGUAUCCACAGCCAGGCAGUUCGAUGUGCCUGUCCGGUAUGGAUAUAGAAUUUCAUCAAAAUCUUACAUAUCCUGGGUCAUAUAUGUGAAUACUUGCUACUUAGCUUUCUCUCAGAUACCUGGAUAAGGAGGGGCAUGUUUUCAACUUGUUCCUGGACCUGGUUGAACUUGCUGAUGACAAAGCACACACUAUUGUGACAGCCAUAAAGACUGCAAUCUGUAAGAAAGGCCUGCCAACAGAAAUACUUUAUGGAGUGGGGAAUGAUGGAGCAGCUGUUAUAACAGUUAUUAUUAUACAUAUCAUGUAAAAUUGUUUGUUAUAACCUUUUUGUGACUGAUUAAUUUUAUAUUAAAAAACUUUUUUUUUAAAUUCAGGGCGUGUGAAGCAACUUACUGACAGCUAUUCAAAGAUCGUGGGUGUGGCUUGUGCUGCCCAUAGAUUAGCCCUUGCCUGCAAGGACUCAUCCAACCUUCAGAGAUCACUUGCAAGAUCACCACUUAUUCUUCCGCAACAGUGCAAAUCGCACUGCAAUGCUCAAGGCAGCAUCCAUCACCCUUGGUGUUAGUGACUUAAAAAUUAAGGAAGUAAAAGACACACGUUGGCUGCCUCAGCACAAGGCAAUUGAGAACUUGCAGAGAAACCUGCCAGCAGCCCUGGCAGAGGAGGCAGAAAUGCGUAGAUGUCUGGUGGCAAAGGGUCUCUACACUUUUUGUGCCACCUACAGAUUUGUGGCUGCUGUUUACCUGCAAGCGGAUUGUUUGCCCCACCUUGCAAGUCUCUCCAGAGUAUUUCAGAAAGCAGACGUCAACUUCCUUCGUAUAAAGGAGAUGGUCUCUGUCACCAUUAAUACUCUGGGGAACAUCAGAGAAGCUGGACAGACUCCACUCCCGGGAUCAUUUCUGUCUCGCCUCCACAAGGACCUGGAUAAUUCCCAAGGUCAUCCACCCUUACCUAAGUGGCCUGGAAAAAAACCUUCACCCUCGGUUCCAUGACCUGGACAUACUUGGGGCUUUCGGUGUCUUUGGACCUAAAUCGGCUGCUCUGCAAGAUGACUCUGCUAACAUCGACAAUCUGAGGAUUCUUGCCAGAAAAUUCUGCCCUGAGCAACAGAAUGAGGUCCUGCAGGAGUGGACUUCAUUUAAGAACCAUGUCGUUACUGGGGCAUUCAAGAUGGGACAAGAUCCAGGCUGACAUCCUUACUCUGCUGGCAAGUGAGUUCGACGAAUGGGAUAAUGUCUACCCUUGCCUCAGCAUCCUUGCAGGCAUUGCCUUGGUGAUCCCCGUUUCAAGUGUUAAUUGUGAACGGGAUUUUUCUACUCUGAAUAGGGUGAAAACAGACCUGAGGAAUCAGCUGCAAGGAGAACACCUGGCUGCCUGCCUGAGAAUCUCCACCAACGGACCUGACCACAAAGACUUUCCUUACGAUAAGGCCUUACACUAUUUUUUUCGGAAGCCCCAAAAAAUUCAUUGCCCUUACAUAGGGUGCAAAGUCUGCAGGCAGUAGAAAACACAUGGUUAAGUGUAGGGAGUAAAACUGAUGGCAGUCUAAAAUUCAAGAUUUUUGGAGUGGGCUUUAAGAGACAUUUUAGCUUUUAUAUUUUAUAAUACUAUAUAUUUUUUGUAAGAACCACAAUUAAUAAAUAUAUUUCAGUGAAUAACUAAUUGUUCAAAUCUGUAUAUGAAUAUGUCCAU